This 497-nucleotide ribosomal RNA is filed under the name uncultured bacterium. Its description in RNAcentral is "partial 16S ribosomal RNA". It matches the Rfam family "Bacterial small subunit ribosomal RNA", at positions 28 to 507 of the family's 1533-position model. The record is from RNAcentral.
GAUGAACGCUGGCGGCGUGCCUAAUACAUGCAAGUCGAGCGAACAGACGAGGAGCUUGCUCCUCUGACGUUAGCGGCGGACGGGUGAGUAACACGUGGAUAACCUACCUAUAAGACUGGGAUAACUUCGGGAAACCGGAGCUAAUACCGGAUAAUAUAUUGAACCGCAUGGUUCAAUAGUGAAAGACGGUUUUGCUGUCACUUAUAGAUGGAUCCGCGCCGCAUUAGCUAGUUGGUAAGGUAACGGCUUACCAAGGCAACGAUGCGUAGCCGACCUGAGAGGGUGAUGGGCCACACUGGAAGUGAGACACGGUCCAGACUCCUACGGGAGGCAGCAGUAGGGAAGCUUCCGCAAUGGGCGAAAGCCUGACGGAGCAACGCCGCGUGAGUGAUGAAGGUCUUCGGAUCGUAAAACUCUGUUAUUAGGGAAGAACAAAUGUGUAAGUAACUAUGCACGUCUUGACGGUACCUAAUCAGAAAGCCACGGCUAACUACGUG